CUCUUAUAAAGGUGGUGAACCAUCUCCUAGACAGUGUGCAGUGGGCCAUCAGUGUGGAGGACCCUCGUUAGCUGGGAUUUUGGGCCUUCAGCAGGACCUCAUUUGGGAAAGGUGAUGAAGCCUAUGUUGAAUAUUCUGAAAGCUCUUCAACCCAAGGUGGGCCUCCUUGCACAACUGGCAGCCCACCACACUGAGAAGGAGGAGAGAGAGGAGAAGGUGGAGGACAAGCUUGAAGCAGAGCAACAGUGGGAGGAAGAAGAGGAGCUGCAGCAGAUAGAGGAGAUCAUUCAAAUUAAAUCCUCUCUGUAUUUGAGGAGCCCGUUGGCUUCAUCCAUGGACAGUGAACAACUAAGUGAGAAUGUUGAAGAACCAUCAGCAGCACUGGGAGCACAGAGAGCAAGUGAAUGCAGUUCUGCUGACACGUGCCAGGCCUGGGAUACAGAAGACUCUCCAUACACAUCUUAGGUAGAUAUCUUGUAAAACCUUCGGUAACAGAACCUCAGGAAGUUGGCUCACAAAAGUUGGAAACACUGUCUGAAGAUGCUGGAAAGAAAGAUCUUCCCAUACCAGAGGAAAUGGGGGUUGAUACAGGUAUGUAUGGGGAAGUGACACUGGCUAAGUUAGGUGAUAUCCUGUAGAUCAUGUGGGAAGUCUGUAAGUAAGCCAGGAAAGGACUAGGCCUCCUGAAUUCACAUUCAUUGAUCUACCCAGAGAUCAUCAUUGCUGCCCUAGGCUGUAUGUAGACAGCACAGGGGUUUAAUGCUCCCUAAAUUGAAGUGGUG
Molecule: RNA transcript, 782 nt
Organism: Gavialis gangeticus (Gharial)
Lineage: Eukaryota; Metazoa; Chordata; Crocodylia; Gavialidae
Gene name: chromo domain-containing protein cec-1-like
Exons: 5
Source: RefSeq, a predicted model, not a curated record